This 397-nucleotide ribosomal RNA is filed under the name uncultured bacterium. RNAcentral's name for it is "bacterial SSU rRNA". It matches the Rfam family "Bacterial small subunit ribosomal RNA", at positions 975 to 1375 of the family's 1533-position model. The record is from RNAcentral.
CAGGGCUUGACAUCCUACUAACGAAGCAGAGAUGCCUUAGGUGCCCUUCGGGGAAAGUAGAGACAGGUGGUGCAUGGUUGUCGUCAGCUCGUGUCGUGAGAUGUUGGGUUAAGUCCCGCAACGAGCGCAACCCCUAUUGUUAGUUGCUACGCAAGAGCACUCUAGCGAGACUGCCGUUGACAAAACGGAGGAAGGCGGGGACGACGUCAAAUCAUCAUGCCCCUUGUGUCCUGGGCUACACACGUAAUACAAUGGCGGUCAACAGAGGGAUGCAAAGCUGCGAGGCAGAGCGAACCCCUAAAAGCCGUCCCAGUUCGGAUUGCAGGCUGCAACCCGCCUGCAUGAAGUCGGAAUCGCUAGUAAUCGCGGAUCAGCAUGCCGCGGUGAAUACGUUCCC